Jatropha curcas is the source of this 2202-nucleotide non-coding RNA. The record is from RefSeq and is a predicted model, not a curated record. NCBI's taxonomy places the organism in Eukaryota, Viridiplantae, Streptophyta, Magnoliopsida, Malpighiales, Euphorbiaceae.
UUUUCAACCCUCUCUAUUUUUAUACACAAACAAACCCCUCACUCUCACCCACGUACUGCUCUUCUGCUCCCACUCCACUCCGCUCGCAACAUUUCUACCCCAGACCAAAAAGCAAACCAGGACUCUUCUUCUUCUUCUUCUCUCUCUCUCUCUCUCUCUCGUGCUCUGUUUCGAGAAGCAGAGCAUGGAGCGUGGUUUCAUCUUCUGCUUUUUCUUACUUCUUUGCAUUUUCUGUAUUGCAGAUGCGGGCUCAAUCGGAGUUAACUAUGGAAGAAUCGCCAACAACUUACCUUCUGCAGUGAAAGUGGUGCAGCUUCUCAAGUCUCAAGGUCUGCAGCGGGUAAAGGUUUUCGACGCUGAUCCGGCUGUACUCAAAGCUUUAUCUGGAUCCUCGAUUAAAGUAACCGUCGACUUACCAAAUGAGCUACUCUAUUCCGCUGCCAAACGCCAGUCAUUUGCCUUAUCUUGGGUUCAACGAAAUAUUGCUGCUUACUACCCAUCUACCCAAAUCGAAGCCAUUGCUGUUGGUAAUGAAGUUUUCGUGGAUCCACAUAACACUACCAAGUUUCUUAUACCCGCCAUGAAAAAUAUCCACCAAGCUUUAGAAAAGCUCAAUCUUCAUUCUGACAUUAAAAUCUCUUCACCCAUAGCUUUAAGUGCUCUUCAAUCCUCUUACCCGUCGUCUGCUGGAGCUUUCAGAUCCGAAUUAAUUGAACCCGUUUUCAAGCCUUUACUGGAUUUUCUCCGUCAAACCGGGUCAUACCUUAUGGUCAAUGCCUACCCGUUUUUCGCAUACGAAUCGAACUCGGAUGUCAUAUCCCUAGACUACGCUUUGUUUAGAGAGAAUCCUGGUGUGGUGGAUGCGGGUAAUGGGUUAAGGUAUUUUAGCCUCUUUGAUGCCCAAAUCGACGCCGUUUUUGCUGCUAUGUCUGCUUUAAAAUAUGAUGAUAUUAGAAUGGUCGUGACCGAGACUGGAUGGCCAUCAAAAGGUGAUGAGAACGAGUUAGGUGCGAGCUUGCAAAAUGCAGCAGCUUACAACGGCAAUCUCAUCCGUCGGAUUCUUACUGGCGGUGGGACCCCUCUAAGACCAAAAGCAGAUCUCACCGUUUAUCUUUUUGCUUUGUUCAACGAGAACCAAAAGAAUGGUCCCACAUCAGAGAGAAACUACGGGCUUUUUUACCCUAACGAGCAAAAAGUAUACGAUAUCCCAUUUACAGUAGAAGGCCUCAAGAAUUACAAGGACAACCCGUCACCGGCGUCCGGUGGUCAGCAGGUGACGAAUCCAGUCAACGGCGGAGUAUCCAAGAGCACUACAGGCAACACGUGGUGCGUGGCGAAUUCUGAAGUGGGGAAAGAGAAGCUGCAGGCGGGUCUAGAUUUUGCUUGCGGUGAAGGAGGAGCCGAUUGCCGUCCGAUUCAACCAGGUGCCUCGUGUUAUAAUCCCAACACGAUUGAGGCCCACGCCUCGUUUGCUUUUAACAGUUAUUAUCAAAAGAACGGGCGGAAGGCUGGUACCUGUUAUUUCGGAGGCUCAGCUUUGGUUGUCACCCAAGCACCGAGUGCGUAUUUUAGCUUUCUCUAUCUCUCUCUUUAUUACUCUAAAUGAUUUGCUAACCUGUGCACGUUAGGCCUAUGUUAGAUAACUAGCAUAGCACUAUGAUAAAUUGCGCCGAGAAAAUAAGGCUGGCAUCGGGCGCUGGUCCACCAAGUGUAGAACAAUAGUGCACGCCGGGUUAGGGUAAAUGUCUAAAAAGGCAAAAAAUGUGACUACUGGUCAUGAUGGGAUGGAGAAUCUUUAGGGAUGCUGACGUGGCGUGCACUAAUUGGAAGAAAACGUGGACAUAUCUUUUUGACUGAGUGGUUAAUAUUUUUUAAUGGUACUGCACGCUUUUGUUUGGUGAAUAAUGGAGCACCCUUUAGCACUGUGAAUUGGUUGGUAUUACAAAGGGUAAAAAGAGUAUGGAGAAUGCGAGUUUCCCACAGGAUAUUGAAGAGCAGAUGCAGAAGCAGAGGAAUAUGGAAUAUGGUUUGGGGGUUAAUUUAGUAAUUUUGGGGGUUUUAUUAUUGUAUUUAUUGUGGAGUAGUUGAAAUUGUUGACAAUUAUUUUUGACUAUGUCGGAGUCUGUAAUUAUUGAAAGUUAACAUAUUAUUGUAUUUCACUUUCCAUAUAUUAGUUUUCUUUUACUACGCAGUAGUUUUUCA